RNAcentral lists this ribosomal RNA (400 nucleotides) under uncultured bacterium. RNAcentral's name for it is "bacterial SSU rRNA". It matches the Rfam family "Bacterial small subunit ribosomal RNA", at positions 355 to 767 of the family's 1533-position model. The record is from RNAcentral.
UGGGGAAUAUUGCGCAAUGGGCGAAAGCCUGACGCAGCGACGCCGCGUGAGGGACGACGGCCUUCGGGUUGUAAACCUCUUUCAGCAGGGACGAAGGGAAACUGACUGUACCUGCAGAAGAAGCACCGGCUAACUACGUGCCAGCAGCCGCGGUAAUACGUAGGGUGCAAGCGUUGUCCGGAUUUAUUGGGCGUAAAGAGCUCGUAGGCGGCCUGUCACGUCGGAUGUGAAAACCCGGGGCUCAACCCCGGGCCUGCAUUCGAUACGGGCAGGCUAGAGGAUGGCAGGGGAGACUGGAACUCCUGGUGUAGCGGUGAAAUGCGCAGAUAUCAGGAAGAACACCGGUGGCGAAGGCGGGUCUCUGGGCCAUUCCUGACGCUGAGGAGCGAAAGCGUGGGGA